AUUGAACGCUGGCGGCAGGCCUAACACAUGCAAGUCGAGCGGAUGAAGGGAGCUUGCUCCUGGAUUCAGCGGCGGACGGGUGAGUAAUGCCUAGGAAUCUGCCUGGUAGUGGGGGAUAACGUCCGGAAACGGGCGCUAAUACCGCAUACGUCCUGAGGGAGAAAGUGGGGGAUCUUCUGACCUCACGCUAUCAGAUGAGCCUAGGUCGGAUUAGCUAGUUGGUGGGGUAAAGGCCUACCAAGGCGACGAUCCGUAACUGGUCUGAGAGGAUGAUCAGUCACACUGGAACUGAGACACGGUCCAGACUCCUACGGGAGGCAGCAGUGGGGAAUAUUGGACAAUGGGCGAAAGCCUGAUCCAGCCAUGCCGCGUGUGUGAAGAAGGUCUUCGGAUUGUAAAGCACUUUAAGUUGGGAGGAAGGGCAGUAAGUUAAUACCUUGCUGUUUUGGCGUUACCAACAGAAUAAGCACCGGCUAACUUCGUG
This 484-nucleotide ribosomal RNA is filed under the name uncultured bacterium. RNAcentral's name for it is "partial 16S ribosomal RNA". It matches the Rfam family "Bacterial small subunit ribosomal RNA", at positions 30 to 507 of the family's 1533-position model. The record is from RNAcentral.